This 403-nucleotide ribosomal RNA is filed under the name Hoplobunus sp. 33 JCL-2017. RNAcentral's name for it is "partial 16S ribosomal RNA". It matches the Rfam family "Bacterial large subunit ribosomal RNA", at positions 1888 to 2591 of the family's 2925-position model. The record is from RNAcentral. Lineage: Eukaryota; Metazoa; Arthropoda; Arachnida; Opiliones; Stygnopsidae.
GGUUGGGACUAGUCUAGCCUGCUCUAUGUGUUAUAAAUGGCUGCGGUAAUCUGACUGUACUAAGGUAGCAUAGUCAUUAGUUUUUUAAUUGGGGACUGGAAUGAAGGGCAUUAACCUCAUGGGAGGUUUUAUAGAGAUUUUUUGAAAUUGAGUCGAAAGUAAGAAUGCUUUCAUAAAACUUUGGGACGAGAAGACCCUAGAAGCUUAGAAUCAAGUGAUUUUUGGUUGGGGCGAUCAAAGGAAGACAUCAAUCUUUUUUUUUGAAGGGGUUAAAAAUUACUCUAGGGAUAACAGCGUAAUUUAAUUUGGGAGUCCUUAUCUUGAGUUAAGUUUGCGACCUCCAUGUUGAAUUAAAUGUAGGUUAAGUGAAGGAACUUAAUUGAGUGGUCUGUUCCACCUGGGG